CUCUUUCUCUGUCGUAGUUCUCUUUCUAUAUCAUCUAAUACGUUUUCUCUGUGGCAUGCUUCUCUUUCUUUCAAACUUCUUUCAAAAUUCUUCUCUGUCGUAGUUCAGUCCCCUUCUCGCUUUUAGGGUUUUCAAUUUCUUCAAAGGCACCCGAUCCUAAUCACUCCGAUACCAGCGCCACCAAAGACGACGCCAUUGCAAAGAAGAAGGUCGAGAACGAAGAUCUGUCCGAUGAGGAUUUGGCACUGAAGCAGCAACUAGAGUUGUGCGUGUAGAGGGUUCAAGAUCCCGACUAGGGAUUGCAGAAGGUUGUGAUGAGAUUGCAGGUGCCAUUGGAGGCAUUGCUGCUUCACUGAUUCGUGUUCCAACUGAGGAUGAAAUAUGUAAAUCCAUUGCUGAGAAAGGUGGUAUUGAUGCAGUACUAUAGAUGACAGUGGUGAACAAGGGAACAAAGCUGUUGCCAAAGUUUGUUGCUCAUUGCUUUCAAAGAAACAAGACCUUGGUCCAGAUGCGGGCACGUGGAAAAUGUUGAAUGAAAAUGCUGAGUUCAAGGCUCUUGCUUUGAAAGAAAUUCACACAGCAUCCGAUGGAACAAGAAAGGAUAUUGCAGAUUUUAUUCACAUUGGAUGAUGGGAUGGUCAUAGAAACAGUUGUCAUACCUUGUGACAGAGGUAGGACUACUGUGUGUGUUUUGAGUCAAGUUGGAUGUGCCAUGAAUUGUCAAUUUUGCUACACUGGAAGGCAAGCCUUAUUUUUACCUGUUGAUAUUAAUUUGGUGGUUACACUGAGUCAUACUUUUCCUGCAAGUUUAUUAUGCAUAAUUAAUUUGCAGAAUGGGUCUUAGGAGACAUCUUACUACUGCAGAAAUAGUAGAGCAGGCUGUUUUUGCCAGACGCCUGCUCACAAAUGAAGUUGGUUCCAUCACAAAUGUUGUCUUUAUGGUAGGUUUACAAUUUCAUUGAUAAUUCUAAUGCUUUUUGUAUAUCAACAAUCCUUUUAGAUCAAAACUUCUACGUUAUUCCUAGCUAAUAAGAAGCCACUUGCCUGUUAGAUCUUUGAUUGUUUUUAAUGUGCAUUUUUUUCAUUGAUAUGCGGACAUGUUUAUAAUGAUAGAUAUAUCUCUUAUCCUGGACUGGAAACUAAAGAAUAUUUUCAUUUCAACUUCCAAGUGGACUUUUUACAUUUCUUCUUAUAAUAGCACAUGCUAGUUGUUCCUUUCUUUUUUAGCUGUCUGUGUUUCCAUGAUAAUCUCGUGGAGUAAUGCCUUCACUUUCCAAAAUAAGUAUUUUUGUGUAUGGUUUCUUACGUGUCAGCAUUUUUAGAACAUGUUUGUGAACCGUUUGUUUAAUUUGUAAUGGACAUUCACACAUCUCAAAGCAUGAAGUGGAGAAUAAUUUGUUACAUUAUGGUUGA
This is a non-coding RNA of Cajanus cajan (pigeon pea), 1413 nucleotides long. NCBI's taxonomy places the organism in Eukaryota, Viridiplantae, Streptophyta, Magnoliopsida, Fabales, Fabaceae. The record is from RefSeq and is a predicted model, not a curated record.